Vitis vinifera (wine grape) is the source of this 1755-nucleotide long non-coding RNA. RefSeq lists it as uncharacterized. The record is from RefSeq and is a predicted model, not a curated record. The transcript has 4 exons. Lineage: Eukaryota; Viridiplantae; Streptophyta; Magnoliopsida; Vitales; Vitaceae.
UUGGAGAUCUCUGUUUGAAAAUUUCAAUUUGAAUUUCAGGUCCCUCUCAUCAGGCCCAUUCUCAGAUGAGGUCAAUGUAAUUUACUCACAUAGACGAAACAAUUAAAGAGGGGAGUUUAAUGAAGCAACAAAACCGUUCUUUUUCUAGUUUGAAGACUGUGGUCUUCUAGGUCUGCAACAGAAUACAUUGCAAUUCUAGAAUCUAGUUAUAUGUAUUCUAGGAUGUAAUACACACAUUCGACUUUGGGUACUGGUGCAUUCUCUGCAAUUAAACUGAAAAUCAUGGAAAUGGAACACCCAAAACAGGAAUAUUAGCUUUGUAAAUUGUGUUGGUUGGAGGUUAUUGCAUUCUUGGACAUCACAUGGACUACCCUUGCCAUUUGAGUAGAAUUUGAAGAUGAACAGUAUGCAUCUUCAUACUCUUGUAAGCCAUUUAGUUGACAUUACACUGCUUUAUAGCUUCAAACCUCUAAGAGAUCCAUGUUUGAAGUUUUCUUUUGGUUAAUUUUUUAAUUUUGUGCGGUGUAUAUGCUUGCUUGCUCAUAAAUGUUUUUUUUUCUUCUUGAAUAUAUUCUUGUGUCCCACUCUCUCCAUCCCUACCCAUGACAACAAAAUUUGAUGUGUUCUGAGUAGCUUGUGUUCUAUAUAUUCUAUCCUGCGCUGGUAGCUAGCAACCUGGGUGAUACAGUUACAGCUAGUAGUUUGGCUACAAUCACUUGGUUGGAUACUCAUAAAAAUCACCAGACCACCCCAACAUCUACAUGCACUUAUACUUGGUUGUUGUUCAGCAGGUAGGUGAUUGUAACUAUUUUCAAGUCAUAUGCAUCACUAAUACCAUGCCUGACCAAACAUUGGACAAACCAGAAAUAUGGGGAACUUGUUUUUCAUUAUCAUCCCGACAAUUUGUGAGGAGUCAAACAAUCCUUUUGGCUCAUGGAUCUGUCUGGAACACACUACUUUAACCAGUGUUACAUCCAAGGAAGCAUUGACUUUAUCUUUGAUGGGGCAAGAUCAAUCUAUCAGGGAUGUGUCAUCGAAUCAAUAACGACAACUUCAGGAGCAAUUGCAUCUCAUCGUAUGGAAUCACCUAACGAUGGCACAAGAUUCUCCUUUGUAAACUGCACAAUCAUUGGAACUGGAAAAAUCUACCUAAGAAGAGCUUGGGGUGAAUAUUCAACAGCAGUUUACUCAAAUUACAGGAUUGUUGAUAUGAUAACUCCUAGCGGAUGGAGUGAUUGGAACAAGCCAGAGGGGAGAAGGUAUGUAUAUCAGAAUCAAUACAACUAAAUUCUCAAUGAUUUUAACCAAGGUAUUACCAGAAUUUGGUGGCAGGAAAGGGUUUGUUCACUUCAGAUGAGGCGCUCUUCAGUGACCCUUCAUCUCAGCCUAUAGUCACUGAUUUUGCCAACAACCCAGGUGAGUUCAAUGGAGCUUUCAUCACCGUAAUGAGGAGGCUUGGGAGAGUUUGCGUCAAAACUGGUGACCAAGGAGAGAUUAGGAAGGAUUGCACAACCUUUAAUUCAUGAAGGCAAUGUCUCAGCAACAAAUUUUGUAAGGAAUUCCUCAUUAUCCAGUUUGCCUUACCAAUAUGUUAUCUACAGUUUGUCAAUAUAGUCAAGACAAUUCAAUUUAUUUUACAUAGCUCCCUGCAUUUACUCUGUUUUCUGAUAGCCUCUGUAUGUGAACUCUUUGUUUUUUCAUCCUUGUAAUGUUCAUAUUCUUUCAUAAUAAGACUUACAACAAUGAAGAUUUGCA